This is a long non-coding RNA of Ipomoea nil (Japanese morning glory), 203 nucleotides long. RefSeq lists it as uncharacterized. The transcript has 3 exons. Lineage: Eukaryota; Viridiplantae; Streptophyta; Magnoliopsida; Solanales; Convolvulaceae. The record is from RefSeq and is a predicted model, not a curated record.
GGUGUCAUCUGGACAGUAACCAAAGAGGUAAAGACAGUAUCACAGGAACAGAUAAACUUAUUAAAGGAAGCUGUUGAUGAUGGUUAUGAGGAAAAUGCAAGGCCACUGCAACCACUGAAUGGAAGGACAGUAUAUCUCAAUCAACCAUAGGAACGUUGUUGCCGGUGCUGUUUAGGAAGUAUAUGUAUUGAGGGAGCUGAGUG